This 319-nucleotide small nucleolar RNA is filed under the name Phocoena sinus (vaquita). Its description in RNAcentral is "Small Cajal body-specific RNA 7 (ENSPSNG00000001384.1)". It matches the Rfam family "Small Cajal body-specific RNA 7". Lineage: Eukaryota; Metazoa; Chordata; Mammalia; Artiodactyla; Phocoenidae. RNAcentral also lists the same sequence under 1 other name. The record is from Rfam by way of RNAcentral.
UGGAAAUGAUGAAAUAGAGAUAAUUGGGUGUUGAAUGUUGUAUGAUUGGAAGAUUUUAAUACGUAAGUAAUCUAAGUUUAAUAUUUUUUAGCUAUUUGAUAGAGUGUGUGUGCAUGUGUGUGUGCUUGUGGAGGCUAUGAAAAGGGGGCACUGACUGGUGAUGCUGACGUUGGAGUGCAUCUGAGGCUGUUGUAGAAAUACAUGGGUUGUUGAUUACAACAUUGCCGAUGAUUAUAACCCAAGAACAGCUCACCUAAGUAGCCUAGCACCCUAAAAUCUCUAACAGGUUCAUUAAACAUGAUCCUGUGAUCUGAUCCAA